CUCGAUGAGUAGGGCGGGACACGUGGUAUCCUGUCUGAAUAUGGGGGGACCAUCCUCCAAGGCUAAAUACUCCUGACUGACCGAUAGUGAACCAGUACCGUGAGGGAAAGGCGAAAAGAACCCCGGCGAGGGGAGUGAAAAAGAACCUGAAACCGUGUACGUACAAGCAGUGGGAGCCCCACCACCAAAGCAUUCUCUGGUGUUGAAGGCCCUGCAAAGCAGCAUCGCGGUGGCGGAGCGUCGUUUGCGACGCCCAACACACAAAACAAGCGGUGAGUGCUUUGGGGUGGGGUGACUGCGUACCUUUUGUAUAAUGGGUCAGCGACUUAUAUUCUGUAGCAAGGUUAACCGAAUAGGGGAGCCGGAGGGAAACCGAGUCUUAAUUGGGCGUUAAGUUGCAGGGUAUAGACCCGAAACCCGGUGAUCUAGCCAUGGGCAGGUUGAAGGUUGGGUAACACUAACUGGAGGACCGAACCGACUAAUGUUGAAAAAUUAGCGGAUGACCUGUGGCUGGGGGUGAAAGGCCAAUCAAACCGGGAGAUAGCUGGUUCUCCCCGAAAGCUAUUUAGGUAGCGCCUCGUGAAUUCAUCUCCGGGGGUAGAGCACUGUUUCGGCUAGGGGGCCAUCCCGGCUUACCAACCCGAUGCAAACUGCGAAUACCGGAGAAUGUUAUCACGGGAGACACACGGCGGGUGCUAACGUCCGUCGUGAAGAGGGAAACAACCCAGACCGCCAGCUAAGGUCCCAAAGUCAUGGUUAAGUGGGAAACGAUGUGGGAAGGCCCAGACAGCCAGGAUGUUGGCUUAGAAGCAGCCAUCAUUUAAAGAAAGCGUAAUAGCUCACUGGUCGAGUCGGCCUGCGCGGAAGAUGUAACGGGGCUAAACCAUGCACCGAAGCUGCGGCAGCGAACGUAUCACUUAAAGCGAUUCAGCGGGUUACGAUUGACGGAGCGAAGCGACGUCAAAGCGUAUACAAAGUCGAGUCGGUUUAAGGAUACGUUCGUUGGGUAGGGGAGCGUUCUGUAAGCCUGUGAAGGUGUGUCGUGAGGCAUGCUGGAGGUAUCAGAAGUGCGAAUGCUGACAUAAGUAACGAUAAAGCGGGUGAAAAGCCCGCUCGCCGGAAGACCAAGGGUUCCUGUCCAACGUUAAUCGGGGCAGGGUGAGUCGACCCCUAAGGCGAGGCCGAAAGGCGUAGUCGAUGGGAAACGGGUUAAUAUUCCCGUACUUGGUGUUACUGCGAAGGGGGGACGGAGAAGGCUAUGUUGGCCGGGCGACGGUUGUCCCGGUUUAAGCGUGUAGGUGUGUGUUCCAGGUAAAUCCGGUUCACUUUAACACUGAGGCGUGAUGACGAGGCACUACGGUGCUGAAGCAACAAAUGCCCUGCUUCCAGGAAAAGCCUCUAAGCAUCAGGUAACAUCAAAUCGUACCCCAAACCGACACAGGUGGUCAGGUAGAGAAUACCAAGGCGCUUGAGAGAACUCGGGUGAAGGAACUAGGCAAAAUGGUGCCGUAACUUCGGGAGAAGGCACGCUGACAUGUAGGUGAAGUGAUUUACUCAUGGAGCUGAAGUCAGUCGAAGAUACCAGCUGGCUGCAACUGUUUAUUAAAAACACAGCACUGUGCAAACACGAAAGUGGACGUAUACGGUGUGACGCCUGCCCGGUGCCGGAAGGUUAAUUGAUGGGGUCAGCGCAAGCGAAGCUCCUGAUCGAAGCCCCGGUAAACGGCGGCCGUAACUAUAACGGUCCUAAGGUAGCGAAAUUCCUUGUCGGGUAAGUUCCGACCUGCACGAAUGGCGUAAUGAUGGCCAGGCUGUCUCCACCCGAGACUCAGUGAAAUUGAACUCGCUGUGAAGAUGCAGUGUACCCGCGGCAAGACGGAAAGACCCCGUGAACCUUUACUAUAGCUUGACACUGAACAUUGAGCCUUGAUGUGUAGGAUAGGUGGGAGGCUUUGAAGCGUGGACGCCAGUCUGCGUGGAGCCGACCUUGAAAUACCACCCUUUAAUGUUUGAUGUUCUAACGUGGACCCGU
This 2032-nucleotide ribosomal RNA is filed under the name Salmonella enterica. Its description in RNAcentral is "partial 23S ribosomal RNA". It matches the Rfam family "Bacterial large subunit ribosomal RNA", at positions 404 to 2236 of the family's 2925-position model. The record is from RNAcentral. Lineage: Bacteria; Pseudomonadati; Pseudomonadota; Gammaproteobacteria; Enterobacterales; Enterobacteriaceae.